This 1063-nucleotide long non-coding RNA is filed under the name Salmo salar (Atlantic salmon). RNAcentral describes it as "lncRNA (ENSSSAG00000115525.1)". Lineage: Eukaryota; Metazoa; Chordata; Actinopteri; Salmoniformes; Salmonidae. The record is from RNAcentral.
GUCAGAUUUGCCAAAUGGAGGACGAGGGAGAGCUUUGUUCCGCGUCUCUGUGUGUGGAGUAAAGGUGGUCUAGAGGUCCCCCCCCCCGGUUGCACGUGACAUACCGGUAGAAAUUAGGAAAACGGAUGUAUGUUGCCCUGCAUUAAAGUCCCCGGCUACUUGGAGCGUCGCUUCUGUAUUUUCCUGUUUGCUUACGGCCUUAUACAGACCGUUGAGUGUGAGGUCUUCUGGUGGUUUGUGGUGGUCAAUAAACAGCUAGGAAACAAUAUAGAUGAAAACUCUCUUGGUAGAUAGUCAAUAGGAGUCAAUAGGAGUCAAUAGGGGUCAAUAUGAGUCAAUAGGUGUCAAUAGGGGUCAAUAUGAGUCAAUAGGGGUCAAUAGGAGUCAAUAGGGGUCAAUAGGGGUCAAUAGGGGUCAACAUAAUUCAAUUGGGGUCAACAUGAGUCAAUAUGAGUCAAUAGGGGUCAACAUGAGUCAAUAGGGGUCAACUGAGUCAAUAGGGGUCAAUUGGGGUCAACAUGAGUCAAUAGGGGUCAAUUAGAGUCAAUAGGGGUCAACAUGAGUCAAUAGGGGUCAAUAGCGGUCAAUUGGGGUCAACAUGAGUCAAUAGGGGUCAACAUGAGUCAAUAGGGGUCAAUAGGGGUCAAUUGGGGUCAACAUGAGUCAAUAGGGGUCAAUAUGAGUCAAUAGGGGUCAACAUGAGUCAAUAGGGGUCAAUAGGGGUCAAUUGGGGUCAACAUGAGUCAAUAGGGGUUAAUAUGAGUCAAUAGGGGUCAACAUGAGUCAAUAGGGGUCAACAUGAGUCAAUAGGGGUCAACAUGAGUCAAUAGGGGUCAAUAGAGGUCAAUUGGGGUCAACAUGAGUCAAUAGGAGUCAAUAGGGGUCAAUAUGAGUCAAUAGGGGUCAAUAGAGGUCAAUAGGGGUCAAUAGAGGUCAACAGGAGUCAAUAGAGGUCAAUAGAGGUCAAUAGAGGUCAAUAGGGGUCAACAGGAGUCAAUAGAGGUCAAUAGAGGUCAAUAGGGGUCAAUAGGGGUCAAUAGAGGUCAAUAGGGGUCAAUAGGGG